This is a non-coding RNA of Marinobacter salinus, 162 nucleotides long. The record is from Rfam. NCBI's taxonomy places the organism in Bacteria, Pseudomonadati, Pseudomonadota, Gammaproteobacteria, Pseudomonadales, Marinobacteraceae.
GUCAUCGCGAGGUGGGGUCCGGAGGAAGCCCAAUCCAAAGCGGCGGGGCGACGAACAGGAACCCGAUACGAGGUGUGGUACAUCCGGGGCGAGCGGGCACGCGCAAAAACCGGGACAGACUUAUUUUGUGCAUACUGGUUUUUGCCGUGGGCUGGCUUUGUC